This is a non-coding RNA of Mus caroli (Ryukyu mouse), 1508 nucleotides long. NCBI's taxonomy places the organism in Eukaryota, Metazoa, Chordata, Mammalia, Rodentia, Muridae. The record is from RefSeq and is a predicted model, not a curated record.
AUUAGGAAAGCAAACUAUUUGACAGCCAUUGCGUGUAGAAGGACCCAGAAACUCAUACAGAACUUUUGAAAUGACGAGGGCAACGAUCUCUAGACUUAAAGCUAGGAGGUGGUGUGUGACCAUGAGUUAGAUAAUGCUAAACCCAAGAGAAAGACAGAUUUGAGAGCAGGAAAAUUUAUAUAGAUGUAUUUUUGAAAUACAUUAGGAAAAAGUUUCUAUCAAAAUAAUUGCUCGUGAGUCUGCUUUUCCCACCUGACUAUCCACAACUCAAGGGUAGCACCAGCUAAUUCCUUCCCUUUGCCUGUUCCUUGGGCUCCUAGGUCGUUAAUGAAGCAAUGAACAGAACGUGAGCGCCAUUUCUGAAGUGAGUAGAUUAUAUUAAGUUAGGUCUGAAGGGAGAAGAGAGCACUGUGAAUUCUGUUUCUGAAAACUGUCCCGAAACCUUUCAUGUUGAUUCGGGUUGAGAAGCCUGAGAGUUGAAAUCGAUUGCUCUAGAUCCAGCUUGAGAGGCUGAACGUUGAAAUCGAUUGCUCUGGAGCCAAUCUGAGACGCAGAGAGCUGAGAUAGAUUGCUCUCCAUCCAGUAGGAGCUGUUGAGAGCUGAAAUCGAUUGCUCUGGAGCCCCAUGGAAACCAGCUUUGCCGGGUUGAGGCACAUCUUCAGAAAGAACCCUUCAACUUUGGAAGAUCCAGAGAGGUACCAGGAGGUCUAAGGCUAAGAUACAGGCACUGUUUCGAUGCUUAGAGUACACCUGAAGCAAAACACAGACGUCAUAAAGAAAACAGAGAGCAAAAGAGAUCGAAGAAAAGAAAAGGAACCAUGGGACUGAUAAGAUGGGCUCAGCAGAUAAGAGCACUGACUGCUCUUCCAAAGGUCCUGAGUUCAAAUCCCAGCAACCAUAUGGUGUCUCAAAAACACCCACAAUGAGAUCUGACGCCCUCUUCUGGCGAUAUCAUUUCAUAAAGCGCUUUUCAGAAUGUAUCUUGAAGAAAGCCAUCUUUCAGCUGAGUCCUCCAUCGGAAGUGGAGAUGCACAUCAACAGAGCCUAGGCAUCCCCUGGUCAUCCUAAAGAGAAGCUAUAUUCAUCCACACCAGAGAAUGAUUUCCAUUCUACCUUGGAAAUGCUGUGUUAAUACAUUUAGGUAGGCAGGAGGGAGUCAGAGAGGAUUAUAAAAGUUUUGAGGUUCUCUGUCCUGGUUGGUCUUUUGUCACCUGGACACACCUAGAGUUCUCUGAGGAUAAAAGCUUCAAUUGAGGGAAAAAAAUGCAUCGAUCAGCAAAAUUGUCUGUGGGCAAAUCUGUGGGGCAUAUUCUGGAUUGUUCAUUGAGCCCACUGGGACCUGUGCCAACCCUGGGCCGGUGGACUUGAUAGUGUAAGAUAGCAAGCUGAAUGCGCCAGGAGGAGUAAGCCAGGUAGUAGUGUUUCACCACAGCCUCUGCUUCAGCUCCUGACCUCCCUUCCUGACAGACAACAACUGUAAGCUGAAAUAAACCCUUUCCUCUCCAAGU